UACAGAGGGCUCAAGCGUUGUUCGGAUUCAUUGGGCGUAAAGGGCGCGUAGGUGGCUGGGUAAGUCAGGUGUGAAAUCUCGGAGCUCAACUCCGAAACUGCACUUGAUACUGCCUUGCUCGAGUACUGGAGAGGAGAGUGGAAUUUACGGUGUAGCAGUGAAAUGCGUAGAUAUCGUAAGGAAGACCAGUGGCGAAGGCGAAUCUCUGGACAGUUACUGACACUGAGGCACGAAGGCCAGGGGAGCAAACAGG
Molecule: ribosomal RNA, 253 nt
Filed under: uncultured bacterium
Lineage: Bacteria
Description: partial 16S ribosomal RNA
Rfam family: Bacterial small subunit ribosomal RNA
Source: RNAcentral